This is a long non-coding RNA of Tripterygium wilfordii, 1063 nucleotides long. RefSeq lists it as uncharacterized. The transcript is spliced from 2 exons. Lineage: Eukaryota; Viridiplantae; Streptophyta; Magnoliopsida; Celastrales; Celastraceae. The record is from RefSeq and is a predicted model, not a curated record.
AAUAUAAAGCUGUGUUUUGUUUGUAGGUUAUGUCAUGAGGAAGGAGAUGAGAAGUCAGUAGAAGAGGAGGUAGAAGAAGAACAGUCGAAGAACAGAGAGAAAAUAGAAACGUUGGUUUUCAAUAUUCAAAAAGUGUACAUACAAAUUGUGAGAGUACAGACUAUAAAGAAAGUGAACAACGGUCACUGUGAUGUGACAGUUGUAGAAUAAACAAACUAUAUGAAACGGUGUGUUUCAUAUCAACCUAAACCAAUAAAGAAAAGGGCCUAUUAACAAGGCCUUUAUGAGUUACAAGUCCAAUGAAAACAAGAGCCCAAUAUAGAACACAAUAGAAGAGUUCAAAAGCAAAGUCUGGUUAGGGUAAAACACCAGAGAGUUAGAGACAACAAAGAGGAAGAAGAUUACGCGCCAUGGACGAUUCGUGAAAAACGUGAACUAUCUUAUCAUUGGCACCCUGGAUUACAUAUUUUACACAGGUGAAGCUAUUCAGCAACAAGUUUUUUGUGCAUCUCUUUUGGGAGUCCAUUGGGGAUUCAAGGUGGAUUGUACUGAAUUAAUGAUUUGGUCUCUCAGCGGACUCCUUAACAGUGGAGUCCUUGCUAGAACUCUUGGAUGAGGAUAACUUGAGGAAAGACACAGUACUUCCUUCUCCAGAGUCGUCUUCGGAUCAUAUAGCGCUUUUGGCGGAGUUUCGUUGCAAGCCUAGACCUAGACGUUGACAUCCUGGGUGGAGGAUAUGCUAAAGAAAUAUGGUUGGGAUUAGAUGGGAGACAAAAAUAGUUCAUUUAAGAAGGGUAGAUGGUGUUUCCUGGGAUCUCCAUUGCGAUUGUUGUUGCGGUCUGCUGCGUAUCAUCCCACCUCUGUUUCAUAGGAAACUCAGAUCCAAUAUCCUACCUCCCCCUGCCCUUGUUCCAGUAUAAAUGUCCAGCUCAGUUCAAGCCGUACCAGAGUUUCUUAAAAUCAAGUGCUCUAUCUGUGGCAUGCUAUUGAAAGUAAUGCUCUCUUUGUAUUCUAUUUGUACCAGUCCAUGCUUCCUGUGAUUCGAUCCCACUCCCUUUUCUCU